AAACGACUGAUAUCCGACACUAUAUAAGUUGUCUUCUCAAAACUCAAGGAUUAAGUCAUUAAAAUGAUGUCCAAGACAUUUAUCACAUGUGUCAUCUUUCUUGUUUGCUACAUAACAUGUGUCUACCUGACGCCGAUGGCUCAAACAAACAGAGGAAAUAAGGUUUUAUCCAACAUCAAUAUCACGGUCAUAAAGGUCGAGGAUGUAGGAAAUGGUCUUCGACUUUUAACCUAAUAAAAA
Long non-coding RNA from Danaus plexippus (monarch butterfly), 240 nucleotides. RefSeq lists it as uncharacterized. The record is from RefSeq and is a predicted model, not a curated record. NCBI's taxonomy places the organism in Eukaryota, Metazoa, Arthropoda, Insecta, Lepidoptera, Nymphalidae. The transcript is spliced from 2 exons.